Long non-coding RNA from Thalassophryne amazonica, 298 nucleotides. RefSeq lists it as uncharacterized. The transcript has 3 exons. Lineage: Eukaryota; Metazoa; Chordata; Actinopteri; Batrachoidiformes; Batrachoididae. The record is from RefSeq and is a predicted model, not a curated record.
CUCUGAAAAUGGCUGACAUUUAUGAAAAUGCAAGAAAAUGCUACUACCUUUAAGUGCUUAUUACUCAAAAAGUAUGCUAGAUACAGCACAGAUUUUUUUUAUCCUAUUAGUUUUGACAUAUUAGACCACAUCUAUAAGAAAACCAAACUUAUUGCAAUUCAGGAGUGUCAGAACAAUCUUUAUAAAUAUGGUUGAUUUUUAAUUUUUCAAAAAAUUGCCUGUUUUCACCUCCUCAUUUGGCCACGUGGCCAUAUAAAUAACAGUUUCAUAUUUUCACCAUGGUUAAUAACAUAUCUGA